AGAAAGGAGUCUUGCUCAAACAAUUUUAGAGGAAUAGCUCUAAAAUAAGUGGCUUUCCCAGGAUCAAAGGCAGAGCCAUUUUGCUGAAGGUGAGGAUGGAGUGAACCAUGCAAGAGGGCAAUUCUGGGUGCCAAAAAUCCGAUUGCUGAUCCUUGAAGUGUGCACGUGCAGCUGGCUUUUGCUUUCCCAGCUGAUCCUGCUGAAAUUAGGGAAGAGCAGUGCUGGGUUAGCAGUUGGACUCAAAGAUCUUCGAAGUAUUUUCCAACCUUAAGGAUUCUGUGAAUCUUCUGAGCUGAGGAGAGCGCCAGGAUCUGUUUUAAUCCCCAUUGGUUAAUGCAGCUGGUGAGGGGAAAUGUAACACCCGUGUUCCAGGUGCCACAAGAAACUCCUGAUGCUGCCUCUCCCUCCCUUCCCAAGCCUGGGAUUCGAGCGAAUUUAUUUUGGAGGCAGAGAGGAGAGGAAAACUGACUUGUCAGGAAACUUGGCUGGAGUUGUUUGAGCGAGGCUGACUGGAAAACAGCUGCGUGUGCACGGAGCAGAGACUGCACCCCUGCACUGCCAGGGUGGGCUGUCAGAAAAGCCCUUUUUCUUUUUCUUUUUUUUUUUUUUUAAGAAACAGAAAUACAAGACCUGAUUGGCAGCCUGGGAGGAGAAACCUGAGGUACCUGAGGGCCUGGACUCAUGGGAGCAUCCCAAAAGAAACAGUCAUCAGUCCCCUAAAAUAUCUGUUACCCCAAUAAGUGGCAGUCCUUGUGAAGCUGGUUCAGAACAAAACUGCAGAGCAGGUGUUGGAAGGGUCAGGUACCUGUGUUUAUCUGUGGGGAUCCCUGUUUGUUGUCCUGUUGGGUGCUGGUUGGAGCACGCUGGGCCAUCGAGCCCUGCGGAUGAGCCCUUGACCUGUUCUGGGAUGUGCUCCUGGAUCAGGAAUUCCACUCUGGCCACGAGGCUCUGGUGGUUUUUUUCCUUCCUCUUUGUAAAAAUGAAGGGGAAAAGCUCUGCCCUGGGGUAGUGCAGCUCCCUUUCCUGUUGUUCCAUCGUGUUGUUGGGAUGAGUGUCCUAAGAAGGUAAGAGAGCUGGGCAAGGCUUUGGAGCUCAAGGGACAGGACAAGAGGGAAUGGCCCCAGGUUGUGCCUGGUGAGGUUUAGAGUGGAAAUUGUGGGAAAUCUCCCCACUGGAAAGUUGGUCAGGCAUUGGACCAGGCUGCCCAGAGGCACCAAUGCUGGAAAUGUUCAAAAGGCAUGUGGAUGUGGUGCUCAGAGAAAUGCUUUUGUGCUCUUGAAUUCACAGUUAGACUUGAUGAUCUUGGAGGUCUUUCCCAACCUUAAUGACUCUGUGAUUCUUUCGGUUAAAAGGAAGUGGAAACACAAAUGAAAAAGGAUUAAUCUGCUGUUUGCAGUGCUGGGCGUGCUCUGCUUUGGGGACAGCUUUCCCCUCCCCUCCUUCCCCAGAUGAAAACUUGAAUCUGUGCUUGCCACAUUUUAGUUUAGCUUGAUUUUUACCCUAAAAAAAGUAUGUUAAUAAGCAUUUCUUUGCAGCUAGGGAGCCACUUCCAGAUGUGUUUGUCCUGAAUGUCCUUAUCCUGUGUGCCAUUUGGUCAUGCUGAGCUCAAGGGGGAGUUUGCCCUGGACCCAGCUCAGAGGAUAUUGCUGCAGGAGCCACUGCUCUCAGCAAAGUGCUGUGAAAACAUCCAGGAGAUGUCUAUUCCUGCCCUAAUCCCUGAAAUGUGUCCCUCAUAAACACAGCCAAAUAAUUUGGGUGCUUUGUCUGUGCAGAGUGGAGAGAGUUGCUGUGGGAACUUUGAGAGCUUGAGUGUCUUGUUUUGCAUGUAAGUUCUCAGCACUGAAGUGCAUAAAUAGGGCUUUGCAUCUCAUAAUUUAUAAUUCAGCCCAAGAAAUGCUCUAAUACCUUUAUCAGAAUUGGGAACGUCACUCAAAGCACAAAAGCACAAAUCACUGAGGAACAGGAAGACAUUAAGGGCUGCUGUUCUCUCUGUGUCUGGAAUAACAGCCAAGAAUCAGUGAGCUUUUCUCCUAAACAAAUGUUUCACUGUUGUGUGUGUGAAUAAAUAAAUUUUCUCUCUCUCUCUCUUUUAUUUUUUUUUAAGGCAGGCCAAGGAAGGAAAGGAAAAGCUGAAGUGCCUUAGGUGCAGGGAAGCAUUUUGCUCUAUUCCCUGACUUUGCUCAGUGCCACCUGUGUUUCCCCACUGCAGGAUAAGAGCAGGAGGGCUGAGGAUUUGGGAUGGGCAAGCCUGGAAUAGGGAAGAAAUUUCUUCACAGCUGUCCCUGGUUGUGGGACCUCAGGUUCUGGUGGCCAGGCAGUGAAAUCAGGAGGUUUGGGGAGAUAAACCCACCUCAUCCUGGUGGGAAGGGGCUGGGAGCAACCUGGUCUAGUUGGAACUGGAUGUCCUUUAGAGUCCCUUGCAACCCAUGAGAUUCAGCGUUCCUGUGGCUGUGGCAGGGAAAGGGGUGGUGGAGAAGCUUCUCUGAGAGCAGCACAGGAUGUGCCCCCUAAAGCGCUCCAGCUCAGAGUGGAAAAGAAAAAAAAACCCACUUGGGAAUGCUGAUACAUUUGCCAGGGUUUCUGUAGCCACAAUAUAUCCCAGGAAGCAUGGCACCCACCCAUGGUUCAUUUACAAGCCCUGGGUUGUGCAGAAAACAGGAAUUGCCCUUCAGAACCCCACUGAUGGACCUUCUCCUCCGGUCCCCCGGUGCUGGCACAGCCCAGCUUCACAGGCCACAAGGGAAGCUGCAAAGCUGCUGUCAUGAUCCCACUGCUGGAGCCAGAGGCAGGAAAGCAAUGGAGACGCUCUCAGUGACUCCAGGGUGCUGUGAAGUGGGGGCCCAGGCCAUCAAACCUCCAUGGGGGCAGGCAAGAGGAGAAAAAAUGCAUGGGAGUAGGACUGCAAGUCCUCACUGAAAUUGUUUGUUCUCUUAUUUUUAAUCUCCAGCAUCACUGGACGUGAUCCCUCUGGAGGUGCUGCCAGACCAUUGAGUGCUCCAUCCCUGCGCUCCAGACACCCUCUUCCUGGAAGAAAGUUGGCAACUUUGGGUUUAUUCCAUUUUUUCACCCAUGCCACAGACUAUUUAAUAUCAGGUUUGCUGUGGGUUUGUUUGGGUUUGGUCCCACAAACGCCUCUGGGGCAGGUCAGUGCAUCUCUCAAGCCACCCCUUGGCUGUGCCUUUGGAGUUUGCAAAAUCCAAGGAGACCUCUGUUGUUCUGCUUGAAUAUCCCUCCCCACCUCAGUCCCAAAUGGUGGGAAGCAUCAGGGAAUAUUAUUGAUAAACAAUAGAUGUCUGGUGGAGACACUGGUGAUUUUCCUGGUACAAAAGGCUGCUGCAUCCUCUGUGAUAAUUCCCCUUUUUUUUUUCCUCCUUGCUGGCUUUGUGGUUUUGUGAUUUGUUUGUGGGCUGGCAGGCGUCCACAGCCCUGCAGGAAAUGGAUGUCUGCUCUUGUGUUUGAGGGGGGGGGGCAUAUAAAUGUGUAAUUGCCCCACUACAUUAAUUACAGACGUUUCUCCCUGGCUGGAGCAGCUCCAUGGUUUCUGUGCCCUUUCGGUUCGUUCUCCCCAGCCCAGGCUGAGAGUAUUUAUAGUGAACCCCAGCUCUGACAUCCUCAGCUGAGCUGAGGGAAAGUUAAAGAACUUGGCCACAAAAACUGUAGAGGAGAAACUCAGUGGCCUUUUUUUACCUGAUAGUAACUCCAGGACAGCAGCACAGCCAAGUUUUCCCUGGCUAUUCCUCCUGCUGACAUUUUCCUCAAGGAUAAAACUGGUUUGCCCUAAAAAAACAACCCUCUUGCUAUGGAAAAGAAAUUGUAGGGCAAUUUACUUUGGAAUAGCUGUGCUACCUAAUUCCUGGCUCCUAGAGAGAGACCCAGCUGGACUUGGAGCAAAGAAAGGAAACCUGAGGCAAAAUUCAGUGUGGUUGAAUCAGGUUUUGUUGGAGGAAAGGCUGGACAAGCCACCGUGAGGACCUGGCACAGGGUGCCCAGAGCAGCUGUGGCUGCCCCUGGAUCCCUGGAGUGUCCAAGAAAGGUUGGACACUGGGGCUUGGAGCAACCUGGGAUAGUGGAAGAUGUCCCUGCCUGUGGCAGGGGGUGGAACAGGAUGAACCUUAAGGCCCUUUCAACCCAAACCAGUCUGGGAUUUUAUGGUCUGGGACAGCAGUGGGAUCAAAACUCAUAAUUUCCAGCAGAUUGAAUGUACCUAUGGUGCCCCUUGGCUUGUAACGUGGGUUCUCCAUGGAUUCCUGAUGAAACAGGAAUAUCCUGCUGUGAUUUUUCUCAUUUUUAUCGUGCCAGAAGUGAGGGUGAAGAAUGAGGGAUGUCUGCAAGGACAGGACAAAAACCUGAGCCAGCCUGGUGGCAUGAAACCAGGAGGGAGGUAAGGAUCUGUGAUGGGGGGACAUCCAGGGAUGCAGAAUUCUGGGAUCUCACCUCCUGUUUGGAGUCAUUGCCUGGAUGUGCUGCUGCUCUGGCUCUGCUGCAAUACGUCUCAUCCUUUUUGGGGCUGGGAAUGUUCCACCUACAAAGCUUCUCCCAGGGGUCCUAGCAAACCUUUGAGGUAAAUCCGUCCAGAUCCACAUAAAAUUAAGCAUCUUAUUGUGUUUGUCCU
Long non-coding RNA from Vidua chalybeata, 4612 nucleotides. RefSeq lists it as uncharacterized. The record is from RefSeq and is a predicted model, not a curated record. The transcript has 3 exons. Lineage: Eukaryota; Metazoa; Chordata; Aves; Passeriformes; Viduidae.